CUACGGGUUGCUCCAGUGGGGAAUAUUGCACAAUGGAGGAAACUCUGAUGCAGCAACGCCGCGUGGAGGAUGACACUUUUCGGAGCGUAAACUCCUUUUAUAUAGGAAGAAGAUGACGGUACUAUAUGAAUAAGCGCCGGCUAACUCCGUGCCAGCAGCCGCGGUGAAUACGGAGGGCGCAAGCGUUACUCGGUAUCACUGGGCGUAAAGAGCGUGUAGGCGGAUUAAAAAGUCAGAAGUGAAAUCCUAUAGCUUAACUAUAGAACUGCUUCUGAAACUCUUAAUCUAGAAUAUGGGAGAGGUAGAUGGAAUUUCUGGUGUAGGGGUAAAAUCCGUAGAGAUCAGAAGGGAUACCGAUUGCGAAGGCGAUCUACUAGAACAUUAUUGACGCUGAGACGCGAAAGCGUGGGGAGCAAACGGGAUUAGAUACCCCAGUAGUC
RNAcentral lists this ribosomal RNA (440 nucleotides) under uncultured bacterium. RNAcentral describes it as "partial 16S ribosomal RNA". It matches the Rfam family "Bacterial small subunit ribosomal RNA", at positions 339 to 795 of the family's 1533-position model. The record is from RNAcentral.